GAGUUUGAUCCUGGCUCAGAUCGAACGCUGGCGGCAUGCCUUACACAUGCAAGUCGAACGGCAGCACGGGAGCUUGCUCCUGGUGGCGAGUGGCGAACGGGUGAGUAAUGCAUCGGAACGUAUCCUGGAGUGGGGGAUAACGUAGCGAAAGUUACGCUAAUACCGCAUAUUCUGUGAGCAGGAAAGCGGGGGACCUUCGGGCCUCGCGCUCUUGGAGCGGCCGAUGUCGGAUUAGCUAGUUGGUGAGGUAAAGGCUCACCAAGGCGACGAUCCGUAGCAGGUCUGAGAGGAUGAUCUGCCACACUGGAACUGAGACACGGUCCAGACUCCCACGGGAGGCAGCAGUGGGGAAUUUUGGACAAUGGGGGCAACCCUGAUCCAGCCAUGCCGCGUGAGUGAAGAAGGCC
This 407-nucleotide ribosomal RNA is filed under the name bacterium enrichment culture clone ALO1_GLFRUDD03FOZYC. Its description in RNAcentral is "bacterial SSU rRNA". It matches the Rfam family "Bacterial small subunit ribosomal RNA", at positions 9 to 416 of the family's 1533-position model. The record is from RNAcentral.